UCCCUGGUAGUAUAUCGGUUAGUACACGCGCCUGUCAUGUCGUCAGCAUCAAGUUGGGCUACCCGACGCGCGAAAGCUGGGUUCGACUCCCAGCCAGGGAG
Marasmius sp. AFHP31 is the source of this 101-nucleotide non-coding RNA. NCBI's taxonomy places the organism in Eukaryota, Fungi, Basidiomycota, Agaricomycetes, Agaricales, Marasmiaceae. The record is from the annotation of a GenBank genome assembly.